CGUUUCCAAAAGGCCUGAUUCCGUUUUCACUGAUACUGACGGCUCUGAAAUCAGCAAUUGAACUUUUUUUAUAAUACUUUGAAUAAUGAACACGUAUUAAGAUAUUGGUUGAAAAUCACUUCAUCUCUUUUUAUAUAAGUUUAAUUAAAUUAAUCCUCAAAAGAAUUUUUAUUCCUUAAAUUAAUAUUAUAUAAUCAAUUCUACAAGAAAUUGAACAUGAAUUUUUUUUCUGGGAAUAUUUCAUCGCAAAAGAAAUAAAUACGCAGAAGUUAUGCCGAAUGAUAUGGCUGUCAGACUGAAAAAUGUGAUAGCAUUCUAGAUCAGAGUAAUAUUGCGAGUCUCAUAAAAUUUGUUCCGUCGCUUAUCGAUUGUCGAUAGCGAUAAAGCUAUAUUGAAGGAUAAAAUACAUAAUAAUUUUCUGUUUACGUGAUUAUUUUAAUUUAUACAAAGAGUUAUUUUAAUUAUAAUAUAUUUCAAUUAUAAGAUAUUAAAAUAAACAAAAUACUAUAUUCUUGGACGAAAUGGAAUCGGAGGUGCAGCAGAUCCCAUAGUCGGCGGACCCGACUCACCCUGCCGGUUCAAGCUACCUGGUAGCGGAGGGUAGAA
Apis mellifera (honey bee) is the source of this 606-nucleotide long non-coding RNA. RefSeq lists it as uncharacterized. The transcript has 3 exons. Lineage: Eukaryota; Metazoa; Arthropoda; Insecta; Hymenoptera; Apidae. The record is from RefSeq and is a predicted model, not a curated record.